RNAcentral lists this ribosomal RNA (763 nucleotides) under uncultured Streptococcus sp. Its description in RNAcentral is "bacterial SSU rRNA". It matches the Rfam family "Bacterial small subunit ribosomal RNA", at positions 28 to 776 of the family's 1533-position model. The record is from RNAcentral. Lineage: Bacteria; Bacillati; Bacillota; Bacilli; Lactobacillales; Streptococcaceae.
GACGAACGCUGGCGGCGUGCGUAAUACAUGCAAGUAGAACGCUGAAGGAGGAGCUUGCUUCUCUGGAUGAGUUGCGAACGGGUGAGUAACGCGUAGGUAACCUGCCUGGUAGCGGGGGAUAACUAUUGGAAACGAUAGCUAAUACCGCAUAAGAGUAGAUGUUGCAUGACAUUUGCUUAAAAGGUGCAAUUGCAUCACUACCAGAUGGACCUGCGUUGUAUUAGCUAGUUGGUGAGGUAACGGCUCACCAAGGCAACGAUACAUAGCCGACCUGAGAGGGUGAUCGGCCACACUGGGACUGAGACACGGCCCAGACUCCUACGGGAGGCAGCAGUAGGGAAUCUUCGGCAAUGGACGGAAGUCUGACCGAGCAACGCCGCGUGAGUGAAGAAGGUUUUCGGAUCGUAAAGCUCUGUUGUAAGAGAAGAACGAGUGUGAGAGUGGAAAGUUCACACUGUGACGGUAUCUUACCAGAAAGGGACGGCUAACUACGUGCCAGCAGCCGCGGUAAUACGUAGGUCCCGAGCGUUGUCCGGAUUUAUUGGGCGUAAAGCGAGCGCAGGCGGUUAGAUAAGUCUGAAGUUAAAGGCUGUGGCUUAACCAUAGUACGCUUUGGAAACUGUUUAACUUGAGUACAAGAGGGGAGAGUGGAAUUCCAUGUGUAGCGGUGAAAUGCGUAGAUAUAUGGAGGAACACCGGUGGCGAAAGCGGCUCUCUGGCUUGUAACUGACGCUGAGGCUCGAAAGCGUGGGGAGCAAACAGG